CCUCGUUGUGGCAGUAUCAUGUUUACUGGUCCAUCAGAACCAUCGGAAUGAACAGUUCCGUGUGCCUUUCGAUUUAGGAACAAAACAUUCAGGCUUAAUUAAAUGGACCUUACAGUUGGCGCGGUAAAGGACUGGUUUGCACAUCUGCCUGAAAGCCUGCAUGGUAGGGUUUUUCAGUGUCUGAGUCCUCGUCGGCCCUUCCAUUUUGGGAAGCUCAUCUGCAGCUGAAAGGGUGAAAGAGAAAGGCUCAUCUAAACAAGCGCUGCCCAUGAAACCAUGACACGCGUCCAGCUGCAGCUCUGUUCUCUGGUCAAAGAGAUAAAAUGAGAAAAUACUGCGUGCCCUUUCAUAUGAGCUCACUCAGUGAUGCGGCUUUAUUUCUGCGCGUUUUUUUUUUUGGUUUCUGGUGUUCGCCGUGGAAGCUUCAUGCUCUCAACAUUAACAGCUCCUGAUGGCCUGCGAACAGAACACACAUUAGGUGUUAUGGGCAGAUCUACAGAUGCAGAUUAUAUUUUGCUUCUGUACAGUGUCAAGUCAAAGUCUGCUUUAUUGCCAAUUUCUUCACAUUUCAAGACAUACAAAGAGAUUGAAAUUGCGUUUCCUACUAUCCCACGGUGACAAGACAUAUUACACCCAAUUGGUCUACAGACAAACAAAACAUUCAAGUAAACAAUACAAUAAGUAAAAAUAAGAAGGCACAUACAAUGAAUAAAUAAGAGCAAUAAAUAAAUAAGCGCAACAUGGUUGAAAUGGAGCAAUUGUGCAUACAGCAGACAGUCAGUAUAUAGCGCAAAAGUACAGUAUACUUGUAAUCCUUUGUUAUGUUCCCUACCCUUCGAAAUCAAUGUGAAUCUGUCCAACUCAUUAUUGUCUUUCUUUUGAAAAAAAAAAACCAUUAUUUGUGCUCAUCUGCGUUAUGAGUCUGCUGGCUCCCUUUGCUUUAAUAACCAACACCCAUUUGAUGGGAUUGCUGUGGUGUGAAAGCAAAGAGGGACCCUAAGAGCACAGGCUCCUUCAUUUCACUUGUCAAACUGACAUGACCAAACAUAUUCCCCUUUUUUUUUACAGUUUUUAAUAUUCUCUCAAGAUGCUGCAGGUUAAUAAAUUGGUGUUGGUGGACAAUCAGAGUGAGCUCUGACUGGCAGAUUUUAUGACGCAUUUGGGCAGUGACAGUUUUCCCUGUGGCUAUGGAGACAGCUUGACAUCACACCAAAUAAAAGGUUCCAAAUAUUACUCUUCUGUGACCUUCCUGACUGAGAACAAUGUUGGUGGGUAAACAUGAGGAAAUGCUUAGAGUGGAACUACAGGGAGGCAGCGUUUAAAUGGUAGCGAUAACAGGCUGAAUAAUGUGGAGUUGACAAAAGCAAGCAAGGGAAGGAGUGAGGUUUUGUGGAGAAAAGCUCAGGAGCAGCAAAUGUAGUCGACGUAAAAAGACUCCUACGCACUCUUUGUCGAGCCUACGCCUCUGAUUUGGAAGGAAAGGAAAACUUCAUUUUCUCUCCUCUUGGUCUCAUCCUCAAUCUGACAUUUUUUAUCGCCUCCUAAUCUUUCUCUGCAUUCUAUUAUACAAAACCACUCCUGCGUGUUCAGGACAUGGUGAAAAGCACACAGCACACGGAUUAUUAUUUUUUCUUUACUAUUGUGUUAUGAGUUAUAAUUUAUGCACCUUACAGGAUUAAAAAAAAAAAGUAAAAUACUAAAUGAAGGAUACAAUACAGCAUAGCAGUAUGAAAUGAAACAGCUGAGGGAAGCAAUUGGACUGAUCAGAUUUACUGUAAACCCUAAUCAUCUUUAUAUAGAUUUAAUUUACAUGCCCUACAUCCUGGUAUCGCACCAAAGUAAUUGCGACACACCGGUGGAUCAUUCAUAAUUACUGCAAAAUAAUCAAAAAAUGAUGAGUACUUUUAAUGAUGUACCUGUGCUCAUCAUACAAGCUCGCCCAACUGAAAUCUACGUGAGAGUUGUGAUGUCAUGGAGAAA
Molecule: long non-coding RNA, 1980 nt
Organism: Syngnathus typhle (broad-nosed pipefish)
Lineage: Eukaryota; Metazoa; Chordata; Actinopteri; Syngnathiformes; Syngnathidae
Exons: 3
Source: RefSeq, a predicted model, not a curated record